Molecule: non-coding RNA, 99 nt
Organism: Mycena rosella
Lineage: Eukaryota; Fungi; Basidiomycota; Agaricomycetes; Agaricales; Mycenaceae
Source: the annotation of a GenBank genome assembly
UGGGACGUGGUGUAUGGCGCACCGCUGCGUCGAAUAAAUAGCUUUGUAAUGCAGUCAGUUUGCAUGCAGCAGGCCGGGGUUCGACUCCCCGCGUCCCAC